GCAUAAAAUUUUAAUAAAAUGAAGUUAAAGGCGAUAAUUACAAAAAAUAUCAUUUAUACACUAACAGCAAGUAAAAAAUUGUACAAAUAAAAGGCUUAUAUCUACAUAAAAGAUGUGUAAAAUACAAAUUUAGCAAGUUAGGCAAUUAAAACAUUCAUUUAAAAAAAAACUCAUUAACAUAUAUACUGGACAAGACUACAGGGUUUGGCAUACAAAAUUCAUCUGUACAUUCUGUCAGGUAAAUCCAUAACAAUGUAUACUUUUAUUGAAAAAGGCCUAUAACAUGUAUGUAUUAUAUGUUUCCAUUACAUAAAUCUAUUCAUUAUUAUUUUUUUCAUUUUCUGAACACCACCUGAUUACAGGGACAUGGUAAGCAGAUUAAAAUUUUGUUUAUCAAUGUUUUUCAAAUCUUUUUUGCCUGUCUAUUUGUUUAACAUUAUUAUAGAUUUUAACAUUGGCAUGAAUAUUUCAUUGUUUUCUAGCAGUGUGCAGUUUACUAUUGAUAUCUGUAUACUGAAACUUUAGUAUUUCAUGUGUUUCCAUAAAAUCCUUUUUUCAAAUACUUUAAACGCAUACAUGUUAUUCAAUUACAUCGGCUAGGCUAUUAAAUGUCUUAGUAAAAAGAUUUUGAUAGAUUUACUAGAAAAUUAAAGAAUUUAAAAAUGUUUAUGGAGAGAUUCAUUAUGAUAUUAAUUAUGCUGAAAAAGUAAAGUAGCCCCUGAAAGAGAUCUGACAUACAGAAGUACAUAUUUUGAUGAAUCAGCUGAUUUGGCUCUUAUUUCAUUUGACUAGAGAAAAAUACAAAAUCAUAACAAAACAACAAUGGUCCUACUGAGCAACAUACUGAAACACUGAUCAUAUUUUAUAGUGAAAAUUCUCGAACCAUUAACAGUCUAAUAUCAACUAAUCAAAUCUACUCAAUUAGUAACAAUUUCAAUGUUACAACUACUGGAAUACAUUCAUCCCAUAAACUUGGGGUACAUGUAGAUGACAAAUAUUUAUGUUUUAAUAGGUUAAAUAAUUAGAAAGUAGGAAGUUAAAUGGAAAAUGUUGAACAUAAAUGUUGCAAUUUUAAUCAAAGAAUUGAUUUUUAUUAUGCUAUUUUUGAUACAUAUUGCAAACCAACUUAUUAUUGCAGAUGCCAAUUUCCAGUUUAGUCCUUGCUAGCGAAGUUUGAGGCGAUUUAUUUUCACCACUUUGGAUUUUCUUAAUGUAUUUAUAUAAAGCAGGAUACAAGGUUUUCAUUUUCAUGACAAUAUUUUUCUAUGCACGAAAAUUCAUUAAAUAAAUCACUCAUAAAAUAUUAGUUUAUUUUUAUUAUAUAACCGCAUUUGUUCAUAAAUGCUGAUGAAAACACAGCAUGUACAAAUACAAUAAAUACAAAAUGGCUGUAGUCAGCAGUGUUCUCCUCAAGGCAUUAAAGCAAUGUGGUACCCUGGUGCUAUAUUUUCUACCAUGGUGCAAUCAUGGGAUGAUUUUAUAAUAGAAUGUAUAAAGACCAUGGUGCUAUAUAUUUUUUGAAAAAUAGUACUAUGUAAAUUUCUAACGUGGUAUUUGAAAAUUCUGGGGAGAUAACUGGUCAGACUAUAGCCUGUACACAAUUCAACCUGCAAAGAGAGUACACAGAAAUUGGUUGUAUUCUUCUUAAAGGUAAGAUAAAAGAAAAAAGUUCCUCAGUGCAAUUAUAUUUGUUGAUGGCAGCAGUAUUUUCUCUAUAACUCUCUACAAGUGCAUUAAUAAAUAACGGUGAGAUAAAAGUAUCUAUCACAGAUAUUGGUUGGUUCUAUGGCAGGAUUCAUCCAUUCUUCAAAUAUUCUGAUUUCCAUGUCUUGGCAUUCUCAAAACCAUUCUGUCCUAAUUUGUAAUCUAAUAAGGCUUGUUCUAUUUCUUCAUCUGUAUUCAUAACAAACGGACC
This 1915-nucleotide long non-coding RNA is filed under the name Mytilus galloprovincialis (Mediterranean mussel). The record is from RNAcentral. Lineage: Eukaryota; Metazoa; Mollusca; Bivalvia; Mytilida; Mytilidae.